AAGGAUUUAAGUUAACUAAACUAUCAACCUUCAAAGUUGAAAAUAGGAAGUAUAGAACCUAAGCCUUA
Molecule: transfer RNA, 68 nt
Filed under: Priotyrannus closteroides
Lineage: Eukaryota; Metazoa; Arthropoda; Insecta; Coleoptera; Cerambycidae
Description: tRNA-Trp
Source: RNAcentral